This 251-nucleotide ribosomal RNA is filed under the name uncultured bacterium. Its description in RNAcentral is "partial 16S ribosomal RNA". It matches the Rfam family "Bacterial small subunit ribosomal RNA", at positions 526 to 776 of the family's 1533-position model. The record is from RNAcentral.
CGUAGGGUGCAAGCGUUGUCCGGAAUUAUUGGGCGUAAAGGGUUCGUAGGCGGUCUGUCGCGUCGGCUGUGAAAUCCCGAGGCUCAACCUCGGGUCUGCAGUCGAUACGGGCAAACUGGAGUGUUGCAGGGGAGACUGGAAUUCCUGGUGUAGCGGUGAAAUGCGCAGAUAUCAGGAGGAACACCGGUGGCGAAGGCGGGUCUCUGGGCAACAACUGACGCUGAGGAGCGAAAGCGUGGGGAGCGAACAGG